This 218-nucleotide unclassified non-coding RNA is filed under the name uncultured Tomentella. Its description in RNAcentral is "sequence contains ITS2". Lineage: Eukaryota; Fungi; Basidiomycota; Agaricomycetes; Thelephorales; Thelephoraceae. The record is from RNAcentral.
ACACCUCAACUCUCAUGGUUCGCCGUGAUGAGCUUGGACUCCGGGGGUUUUGCUGGCCUGCGGUCGGCUCCCCUCAAAUGAAUCAGCCUCCCAGUGUUUGGUGGCAUCACGGGUGUGAUAAAUAUCUACGCUCACGGUUGUCCGCCAGGUAACCUUUGGCGACAAAGGUUCGCUGGAGCUCACAGAUGUCUCUCCUCAGCGAGGACAGCUUUUUGAAC